UACGGGGGGUGCGAGCGUUGUCCGGAAUCACUGGGCGUAAAGGGCGCGUAGGUGGCCUGGUAAGGGUGUGGUGAAAGUCCGGGGCUCAACCCCGGAUCGGCCGUGCAGACUGUUAGGCUAGAGUACUGUAGGGGCAGGCGGAAUUCCGGGUGUAGCGGUGGAAUGCGUAGAGAUCCGGAGGAAGACCGGUGGCGAAGGCGGCCUGCUGGGCAGUUACUGACACUGAGGCGCGACAGCGUGGGGAGCAAACAGG
This 253-nucleotide ribosomal RNA is filed under the name uncultured bacterium. RNAcentral describes it as "partial 16S ribosomal RNA". It matches the Rfam family "Bacterial small subunit ribosomal RNA", at positions 524 to 776 of the family's 1533-position model. The record is from RNAcentral.